This 155-nucleotide non-coding RNA is filed under the name human gut metagenome. The record is from RNAcentral.
CUUGCAGGUGUCCACCGGGAGGUGGGUGAAAAGGGAAUCCGGUCAGAAUCCGGAACGAUGCCGUCACUGUGUUAAGCCGUAUUUGUUCAGAUCCAAUGGGAAACCGUGAAGGGAACAAAUGCCAUGGCCCAAGUCAGGAGACCUGCCGCGGGGUU